Molecule: long non-coding RNA, 1413 nt
Organism: Drosophila mojavensis
Lineage: Eukaryota; Metazoa; Arthropoda; Insecta; Diptera; Drosophilidae
Exons: 2
Source: RefSeq, a predicted model, not a curated record
UUUAAAAUUCUUGUUUGCCUUUUGCCAGCAUUUGUAUGAGUGUGUGAUGUUGCUACCUGACAUAAACAUACAAUCACACACACAUACACAGACGCACCGCAAAAACCACAUGCCUUCCCAAUCAGAAACAGAGAGGUGCACAAGUAGAAAAUGCCGGCAAAUCCAAUAUGUUUGCGGCGGCGGCGGUGGCGGCGCUGCCACCAUCUGCGCGCAAAAUGUAACACGGUGGCAACGCCAGCAGCGACGUUGACGCCAGCAGCAGCGGGUAACGCGUUCAACAUAACCAAACAAAUUUGAUGCUGUUGACUGCCUGCGACUCACGCUCAGACACACACAUACUCAUGCAUAUGUGCAUAUCAAUAAAUACAUGCAUAAAUAAAAGGCAACACUUACAUGUUGACUGUUACUGCUUGCUGCUGCUGUUAUUGUUGCUGUCGUUGUAGUAGUUGACGUUGUUGUUGUUACAAAUUGUUGUCAAUUUUGUUUGAGUUGUUGCUGCUGUCUCUGUCGGCAGCGCCACAGAAAAAAACAUGUUUCACUUGAAGCUGAAGACAACGGCGAUGCUGCUUCUGCCUCUGCUGCUUACAAACAGAGAGAUACACGCACACACACAAUAUAUAUGUACAUACUCAUCUGAAAACGUUUAAUGAAGAACAAAAAGGAACAUGUACACACAAACACAUGGGGGAGAGAAAGAGAAGGAGAUAUUAAAACAUAUAUUCAACAAUAACUUUAGCACACUGUAAAAAAAAAUAGUUGGAAAAAGCACUGUCGCACGCAUACAGAGGUAGCGAAAUGCGACGCUGCGGCUAACAAAAGAGCGCGUCGCAACAGCAGAGAUGGACUAAAAAAAAAAAAAAAAAAGUCCGUAUAAAAAUGAGCAUAAAAAACAGACAAACAACGCAAUGUGAGACAGCGACUAUUUUCCGAUAACUUUUGCUUCGUCAAUAAUACUGCACUUUAUAACUUCAGUUGGCUUAACAAAAAAUUAUAUUAAAAACAAAAAAUUAACGCAGCACAAUAACAAAAAAUAAAUGCACACACAUACACCAAUGCACGCACGCACAGUUCGUAUAACGGUGGAACGGCGCAACGACAGCCGAUAACGAGUACGAGCCGACGACGACGGUUUUUUCACCAACCUUUCUUACUGCUGCUGCUGCCACUGCUGCAGCGCUUAAAACAUGCGCAAGCGACAAAAAAAAUUUAUAAAAAAAAAAAAUAAAGAAAUAUAGCUGAAGCUAAUGUAAAGCUAGAAGCUUAUUAGUAAUGUAAUUUGCUUGAUUUGAUUUAUAAAUGUAACUGAAUAUUUUGUUUGUUGCCACACGCGAAAAGACGAAAUCACGACAACAGCGACGACGACGGAAAAACGCGCGCUUACACGUCUGUACGUACCAAAGAGCAAAACGAAAA